RNAcentral lists this ribosomal RNA (564 nucleotides) under uncultured bacterium. RNAcentral's name for it is "bacterial SSU rRNA". It matches the Rfam family "Bacterial small subunit ribosomal RNA", at positions 338 to 918 of the family's 1533-position model. The record is from RNAcentral.
CCUACGGGAGGCAGCAGUGAGGAAUUUUCCGCAAUGGGCGAAAGCCUGACGGAGCGAUACCGCGUGUAGGAAGAAGGCCCUUGGGUUGUAAACUACUGUCGACGGGGAAGAAAAAAUGACGGUACCCGUAAAGGAAGCACCGGCUAACUCUGUGCCAGCAGCCGCGGUAAGACAGAGGGUGCAAGCGUUGUCCGGAUUUAUUGGGCGUAAAACGUCUGUAGGCGGUUCAUUAAGUCUGAAGUCAAAUUGUUUAGCUCAACUAGACCUCGCUUUAGAUACUGAUGAGCUUGAGUGUGCUAGAGGUUAGUGGAAUUCCCGGUGUAGUGGUAAAAUACGUAGAUAUCGGGAGGAACUCCAGAGGCGAAAGCGGCUAACUGGGGCACAACUGACGCUGAGAGACGAAAGCGUGGGGAGCAAAAAGGAUUAGAUACCCUUGUAGUCCACGCCGUAAACGAUGAGUACUAGAUGUUGCAAGAUCGACCCUUGCAGUGUCGUAGCUAACGCGUUAAGUACUCUGCCUGGGAAGUAUGCUCGCAAGAGUGAAACUCAAAGGAAUUGACGGGG